RNAcentral lists this long non-coding RNA (1616 nucleotides) under Pan troglodytes (chimpanzee). RNAcentral's name for it is "long non-coding RNA NONPTRT001938". The record is from RNAcentral. Lineage: Eukaryota; Metazoa; Chordata; Mammalia; Primates; Hominidae.
GGGUGAGGGUAAGAAGUUGGGUUAGAAUCUGGUGGAGGGGACAAUUGAUCCCAGCCAGCAAAGGCGAUGGGAAACAGGCAGAACCUGUAGCCCAGCUCAUCUCUGUGGUCGCCUGCAUGGCACCAGGAAAGCAGACUUUGGCUUCUUUAUUUCCAUUAAACCCCAGCUUUUGGAAAAGCAGACUCUCAGACUCCACAGCGGAGCUCCGGAAUGCUGCCCCAGGUUGGGCUGGAUGCAACUUUCUUUGCCAAAGCUUCUGUGGUGGUCCUGAUGCACUCCCAUGGUCAAAGGUCACCCACCUGAAGACCUGCACCCUUCCACAUCCGCUGAGCAUGAAUCUCCAUGAGAGCAGGACUCCACUGAAGCAGAAAUCCAGAGCCAAGAAGGACACAGAGUUUCUGGGGAUGGCAUUAGCCCAGGGCCCUGUUCAUUGUUUUGUGGAUGUAGAAACCAAAGCCAGAAGGACAGGUGACUUGCUCAGGGGCAUCCAGUCCAGGAGAUCACAUGGCACCUGUACCUUCUUACAGAAUCCCCAACCUGUGCAAAGGAAGUCAGCCCUGAUGGGGUAGGAUUCUAAAGAUGUUAUAGAUUAAGCUGGGUUUUCCCUGGCAUCCAUGGAAUUGCAGAAUUUUUAAACUGAAGGGACGUCAGGAAGAAGGACAACUGGGAAAAAGGAGUCACCUAUCUUGUACCACCUACCCCACUGAGAACUUUAUUUCACUUAAUCUUCAGAUUAAGUGAAGCAUUAUUAUUUCAUGUUUCCAAUGAGAGAAUGAAGGUUCAGGUGAUGAAGGUAAAUUCCCCAAGAUCAUAUAACGUGUAAGUUGGAGAGCUAGGACUCAAACUCACAAUCUUCUGGCUUCAAGUCACUAUUCCCUGAGAGGAAUCUAGAGACAGUCUAUCUACCAGGUUCAUUUUCUUCACUUGCUAGGUGAACAAAUGUGGCCCGCAGAGCUCAAUGGCUUCACCAAGGUCAAGAGUGAGUGAAUGCCAUGGCUGGGGCUGCUCUGGUCCAUGUGUUUUCCAUGCCAGAGGGUGGCCUCCUGGAGUUCUUUGGUGAUGCCUCUAGCUCUGGAUGACACCAGGCUGGUGGAGGCAGAUCCGAUGGACCAGGGAUGGAGACCUUCAUGCCACUGCUCCCUCUUCAUGGCAUCCAGAGCUCCAGGAGUCCCUUUGGAUCAGACCAAGCCACAGUCACCUUCCAGAAGGAGCCACUGGGGUGGCCAUCAAAGGCUUGGGACACACAAGCUUGGGGCAGUGGUCCAGGGGUAAAGGCCUCCAGUCUUAGGGCCUUCCCCUCCUCAUGGCCCCUGGGCCUCUUUUCUUACCUUGGGGUGCUGGCUUUUCCUUUGCUGGUUAGACCUGUGGUCCAGGGACUUCACUCAGGGCCACCCCAAGGGAGGAAUGAUGAGGGUGACCCAGUUCCUCAUUGCCGGCCUCUCCACCCUCCACCGUCUGCCUUGCUCUGUAACAUUUCUGUGAGCUUCCAGCACACACCAGCAGCCAGCCCAUCUUCUGAUUAGUUUCAGCCUGGUAAGUCCUUCCUGCCGCUGAACCACCUGUCUCCCGAGAGGACCUACGGCCAACGCCUCCCACACCAGAUGGCCACCCCCUCC